GGAGAAGAACGGAUGGUCGCCGCCCGUCGUCGCCCUGGCGCCGGCGGGGGGAGGAAAGUCCGGGCUCCACAGGACAGGAUGGUCCCUAACGGGGACCGGGGGUGACCCCAGGGAAAGUGCCACAGAGAGAAGACCGCCCGCCGUCGCCUUGCGUCGGCGGGUAAGGGUGAAAGGGUGAGGUAAGAGCUCACCGGUUCCGGCGGUGACGACGGAAGCCAGGUAAACCCCAUCCGGAGCAAGGCCAAAUAGGGGAGCGUUUGAGGACGGUCCGUCCAAGGCUCUCGGGUCAGGCCGCUUGAGGUCGUCGGCAACGGCGAUCCUAGAUGAAUGACCAUCACUUCGUCGCGGGUGACUGCGGCGGGGGACAGAACCCGGCUUACGGGCUUCUUCGACC
RNAcentral lists this RNase P RNA (394 nucleotides) under Desulfuromonadales bacterium. RNAcentral's name for it is "RNase P RNA component class A". It matches the Rfam family "Bacterial RNase P class A". From Rfam's summary of the family: Ribonuclease P (RNase P) is a ubiquitous endoribonuclease, found in archaea, bacteria and eukarya as well as chloroplasts and mitochondria. Its best characterised activity is the generation of mature 5'-ends of tRNAs by cleaving the 5'-leader elements of precursor-tRNAs. Cellular RNase Ps are ribonucleoproteins. The record is from RNAcentral. Lineage: Bacteria; Pseudomonadati; Thermodesulfobacteriota; Desulfuromonadia; Desulfuromonadales.